Molecule: ribosomal RNA, 468 nt
Filed under: uncultured bacterium
Lineage: Bacteria
Description: partial 16S ribosomal RNA
Rfam family: Bacterial small subunit ribosomal RNA
Source: RNAcentral
GACGAACGCUGGCGGCGUGCUUAACACAUGCAAGUCGAACGGAAAGGCCCUGCUUUUGUGGGGUGCUCGAGUGGCGAACGGGUGAGUAACACGUGAGUAACCUGCCCUUGACUUUGGGAUAACUUCAGGAAACUGGGGCUAAUACCGGAUAGGAGCUCCUGCGGCAUGGUGGGGGUUGGAAAGUUUCGGCGGUUGGAGAUGGACUCGCGGCUUAUCAGCUUGUUGGUGGGGUAGUGGCUUACCAAGGCUUUGACGGGUAGCCGGCCUGAGAGGGUGGCCGGCCACAUUGGGACUGAGAUACGGCGCAGACUCCUACGGGAGGCAGCGGUGGGAAAUAUUGCACAAUGGGCGGAAGCCUGACACAGCGACGCCGCGUGCGGGAUGACGGCCUUCGGGUUGUAAACCGCUUUCGCCUGUGACGAAGCGUGAGUGACGGUAAUGGGUAAAGAAGCACCGGCUAACUACGUG